Molecule: long non-coding RNA, 480 nt
Filed under: Mytilus galloprovincialis (Mediterranean mussel)
Lineage: Eukaryota; Metazoa; Mollusca; Bivalvia; Mytilida; Mytilidae
Source: RNAcentral
CUAAAAUUUAGGAAUUACAGGUAAUCCCCGAUGCACUUAGUUAAUACAAGUAAUUCCUGAAAUGGCCCAGUUAUUACCAGUAAUUACUAAUUUUAAAAUGAAUUUUUACACCUAUUUACUGACUACUAAAAUAAUGUUGUAUGAUGGUCAGAUGAUCAAAAGUUAUGGUAUUACUAACUAGAAGAUCAGUUAGUACUCUUAAAUUAUUGAAUGGUUCAUCUGUAUUCAAAAUAUCUUGAAUAAAUAGGGACUUUCAAAUAUUUGGUUAAAUCAGAGUAACUUUAGUUUUAAUCCAAAAUGGUUAAAGUUAAGCAUUAUACAGAUAAUUUUUGACCAAUUUCAACACACAUGGAAUUCAGAAAUGGAAAAUUGUCCCAAAGCAUUAUUUUUAACUUUUAAAAAAAAAACUUUGAGUUUGAAGAAUAUUUAGACUUAUUACCUUAUAAAGAUCAGAUAACAUUGUGAAGGUUAAGAACUGGA